Molecule: regulatory RNA element, 39 nt
Organism: Formosa sp. Hel1_33_131
Lineage: Bacteria; Pseudomonadati; Bacteroidota; Flavobacteriia; Flavobacteriales; Flavobacteriaceae
Rfam family: S4-Flavobacteria ribosomal protein leader
Source: Rfam
GACUGUCGAAGGAUAAGCUUAAGACCUUAAUUCACAAUC